GACGAACGCUGGCGGCGUGCUUAACACAUGCAAGUCGAGCGAUGAAGCUCCUUCGGGAGUGGAUUAGCGGCGGACGGGUGAGUAACACGUGGGUAACCUGCCUCAUAGAGGGGAAUAGCCUUCCGAAAGGAAGAUUAAUACCGCAUAAGAUUGUAGUGCUGCAUGGUAUAGCAAUUAAAGGAGCAAUCCGCUAUGAGAUGGACCCGCGUCGCAUUAGCUAGUUGGUGAGGUAACGGCUCACCAAGGCGACGAUGCGUAGCCGACCUGAGAGGGUGAUCGGCCACAUUGGGACUGAGACACGGCCCAGACUCCUACGGGAGGCAGCAGUGGGGAAUAUUGCACAAUGGGGGAAACCCUGAUGCAGCAACGCCGCGUGAGUGAUGACGGUCUUCGGAUUGUAAAGCUCUGUCUUCAGGGACGAUAAUGACGGUACCUGAGGAGGAAGCCACGGCUAACUACGUGCCAGCCGCCGCAGUAA
Molecule: ribosomal RNA, 478 nt
Filed under: uncultured bacterium
Lineage: Bacteria
Description: partial 16S ribosomal RNA
Rfam family: Bacterial small subunit ribosomal RNA
Source: RNAcentral